UGCUGUUUCAUGCUGAGGAACGCUGGAGGUACAUUUGUUUCUGAGAUUCUUCGUAUAGAUUCGAGACCAGAGAUCAGGGGAUUGGUGGAUCAGGAUUAUUCAAAAGUUUUUCAACGAAGAUGAUAUUAAGGAAUUUGAGCUGACCAGCCUAUUAGAUGGAAUAUUUGAUGUUGAUUCCACCUGCAAUUGCAUGCCUCUGUGUACGGAAAUUUCAUAUGAUGUAGAAACUAGCAGUACAUUAUAUUCAUGGAAGAAGCAAAUGCAAGCCGAAAGAGCAAUUACGUUCCUGGAGGAAAUGUACUUAUUGAACGUUUCGGAACUCCAUAUUUCGAAGUUAUCCAUUUUUUUCAAGAGGGAUAAAUUUCUGACAUCUCAACGAAACGAGCUCUAUGGCCCUUUUGAUUUCUUGGCAAACUUUGGUGGACUACUGGGGCUUUUCACAGGAUUCUCCUUGUUAUCAGCUGUGGAAAUUUUUUAUUUUCUAACUGUACGAUUGUGGUGUAAUUUUAUGCUUGACAGUAAUUUUUGAGAAAACUAGAUUGAUUGGAGUCAAAAUACUCUGCACUACAACUAUAUCAUAUCAUGACUACAAAUUUCAUCUUAUCCUUUUUCGUGUUUUGACUAUGUUUCGAAGAUUU
Molecule: long non-coding RNA, 638 nt
Organism: Leptinotarsa decemlineata (Colorado potato beetle)
Lineage: Eukaryota; Metazoa; Arthropoda; Insecta; Coleoptera; Chrysomelidae
Source: RefSeq, a predicted model, not a curated record